CAGCAGCCGCGGGAAUACGUAGGGUGCAAGCGUUAAUCGGAAUUACUGGGCGUAAAGCGUGCGCAGGCGGUUUGUUAAGACAGAUGUGAAAUCCCCGGGCUCAACCUGGGAACUGCAUUUGUGACUGGCAAGCUAGAGUAUGGCAGAGGGGGGUGGAAUUCCGCGUGUAGCAGUGAAAUGCGUAGAUAUGCGGAGGAACACCGAUGGCGAAGGCAGCCCCCUGGGCCAAUACUGACGCUCAUGCACGAAAGCGUGGGGAGCAAACAGGAUUAGAUACCCGCGUAGUCCCUGUCUCUUAUAC
This 301-nucleotide ribosomal RNA is filed under the name uncultured bacterium. RNAcentral's name for it is "partial 16S ribosomal RNA". It matches the Rfam family "Bacterial small subunit ribosomal RNA", at positions 509 to 807 of the family's 1533-position model. The record is from RNAcentral.